GAGAACCCCGAGGUAUCUUAGUUGGCCUAAAGGUGCGAGUGACUUGUCUUUGGCUACCGAGUACUGGUACAAUUCACUAACAAAAGGAAGUUUGACGAGAGCACUGCGUCGAGAUUGUGUCUGUGACACAUAUACUCAAACUUGUCUUUGUGUAGUGCCACAUUUUUCGUUCAGACCAUUUUAUGACACUGUUCAAGUUGUUUUGUAAGACAGAUAUGUCUUGUUCACAGGUUAUCGAGAUCGAAACACCAGUGUCUUAUGAUGGAUUCAGUUAUGCAAUGUUCGAUAGUUGAGCAUUUAGCUCCUUUGGAAGCCGAGAUAUCUUGUAUAAAGUGCAGUGCUGUAAUUGCUAAUUGCGAGAGCGCAAAUAGGUGCGGCCACAUAAUUCAACAACCUAAUGUCUCAGGACUUUGAAAUUAUGCCUCAUUCUCUAUAUAUAGUGUAUAACGCCAUAGAAUAGCAUCUGUAAACAGUAAAAAUACAUACUAGGCACAGGUGGUAUUUUAGUAAUUUUGGGGUAUUUUGGGGAAUGCCUUAGUGGAUUUUGGAAAUCCCCCAUAAUAUAGUACCCCUAAAUACCCUUUGGCUUCCCCCUAUAUAUUCUUUCCGGUUUAAAAAAUUUACUACAAGAGAAAAGGUGUCAGCAACGAACCAGACUUUCAUAUCAAUUUGUCAUUCUUCGAAGUUCCAUACAGACACAUGAAUAAAUUACAUGUAUAAUAUAUGUAUUCAUCUUUAUUUAUUCAAUAACGUGCAGUUAAAUACAAUCUACAAUACAAUGUACAUUUUCAUUGUGUUGCUGGUUAAUGAUUUACUUUUACUCAUUCCGGUCUGUUUGUUUACUUACUCCUACCCUUUUUAACUGCGGCAGUGAAAUCCCGGGUUACACAGUAUGUUAAUAAAUUGCCUUACCUUAUUAUAAAAGUAUAAAUUUGUAACCCGAAUUCUCUUCCUCAGCGUUCACAAAUUUGGUCAAUUUGACACGAACCGCUGUGUCGACAAGAUAAAUUCACACAGCAAGGACAGCGAGACACCUGGCUACGAAGUUCUAAAGAGUAGCAGCCGAGAAACAUGAUUUCCCCUAACGAGUGGUCGCAGCCGACAGCUGGAAUUAUGAUACUAAGAUUGCUGAAGGACUUAUUUGAAAACAAAAAACGAGUUACAUAUUGGAUAUUUUGAUAUAUCAGUCAAUUUUCAAGGGCAUAUGAUAAGACUGGCGAUAUCUGCAGAACGUAUAAUAUUUAAAGUUUGUGACAAUUUGAAAUUCGAAACUCUGUGUAAUACUUCUUUAUAUAUAAGGUUCACUUUGAAAUAUAAAA
Bolinopsis microptera is the source of this 1319-nucleotide long non-coding RNA. RefSeq lists it as uncharacterized. NCBI's taxonomy places the organism in Eukaryota, Metazoa, Ctenophora, Tentaculata, Lobata, Bolinopsidae. The record is from RefSeq and is a predicted model, not a curated record. The transcript has 2 exons.